AUGAGGACAGAUCCUACAGCCAGUAGCCAAGGAUCAGGGGGCGCCCCCUUCUGUCUGAAAUGUCUUCAGGGAACCUGGGGCCCACUUCCACCUCAGCCCUGGGGAAAUGAGGGCCAGGCUUCUGCAGUUCCCCUUCCUGUGGGGCUGCUGAUGGGACAACCCCAUGACAGGGAGAACCCAGCCUCUGAGUGCGUCUGUCUGUCCUCCUGGACACCGUGGUUUCAUCCAUCUGCACAGCUGGGGCCAGUGGGAGGAGACGCCAUGACCCCACCCUCACAGACCUACUCUGACUUGGUGAGAUUUCAAGAGGGGAAGAGGCACCCUAGACUUGAAGGGACUUCACUCCGCAGCCAAGCCCUGGUCUGUCAGGAAAUCUUGGGGGUCAGGAUGCUCACAGGGAGGAGAGGACCUGCUCAGGCUUCAGGCAGCAGGUCUCUCACAGGGAACUCUCUUCCAGGGCUGAAUCUGAGCCCCCAGGACCCACGUGCAGGCAGGCUCCUCCCUAAACCCACCACCUGGGCUGAGCCAGACUGUGUGAUCACCGGGAGGAGACCUGUGACCACCUGGUGUCAGGGUACCCUGGAGGCCCAAGAGUACCAGCUGGAUAAAGAGGGAAGCUCAGGGUCAUGGAACAUUAAGGAAACCACUGGGGUCUGGGAACAAGGCCAGGACCCAAAUCUCACACAGGCCAGAGCACAGUGCAGAGAAGCAUCACUGUCAUUAUCAAAGUGCCACAGGCCGGUCAGAACACAGUGAUCCCCUGGAGCUGGUGGUGACAGGUGAGAGGACACUCAAGGGGCCCAGCCGCAGGCCCUGCCCUCAGGAAAACGGUCACUUGCGCCCUGACGUCACUGUCUUUUAGGGAUGUCCCAUAAAGGGGCAGAAGCGCUGAAGCUCUCAACCUCUGGGCGGCCCUGCAUAUCAUGCAGAACCAUCUGCAAACCAGGCUUGAGUCUUCACUUUCUCUGUCAACUGAUCACAGAGAAAUCCCCAUGAAAUUACAGGUGCAGGCUGGAAGGCAGAAGUUGUGGAGCAGGGGCAGGAACCAUGGGUAUUUGGCCCCCUGCUUUGUGUAAAUUACUCACACUUUCAGGGCCUGAGUGGACAUGAUCUUACCAUACAGCUUGCAUCAGCUAACACACACUUCACAUUUCACGGUGCCUUGGUGACCUACGCCCAAGCAUCCAGUCUCUCCUAAGGUUUAAUAAUGGAGAAAAAUAUAUUGUCUUUUUUAAAAUUUUCUUUUCCUUUCUUUUUCUUUUUCUUUUUCUUUUUUUUUUUUGUGAUGGAGUCACUCUUCUCGCCCAGGCUGGAGUGCAGUGGCAUGAUCUCGGUUCACUGCAACCUCCACCUCCUGGGUUCAAGCGACUCUCCUGCCUCAGCCUCCCAAGUAGCUGGAAUGACAGGCAGGUGUCACCAUGCCCGGCUAAUUUUUUUAUUUUUAGUAGAGAUGGGGUUUCACCGUGUUGGUCAGGCUGGUCUCGAACUGCUGACCUCAGGUGAUCUGCCCACCUUGGCCUCCCAAAGUGCUGGGAUUACAGGUGUGAGCCACUAUACUCGGCAAAAAAAAAAAAAAAAAAAAAAAAAAAAAAAAAAAAUUACAUAUAUAUAUGUUUUUCAAAAGGAGACUAGCUAUCUGUGAAGGAUGAUAGGCUAUUGCCCCACAAUCCGAAGUGGCUAAGCUCCAAUUCACCUGCAGGAAGGAGCUUGCCAAAACCCCCAAACAGCAUCUCCACCUGCCACUGACACUUCAAGC
Piliocolobus tephrosceles (Ugandan red Colobus) is the source of this 1756-nucleotide long non-coding RNA. The record is from Ensembl. NCBI's taxonomy places the organism in Eukaryota, Metazoa, Chordata, Mammalia, Primates, Cercopithecidae.